UAAAAACGAAACUUGAGAUAUUUAGGAGGACCACAAACAUGUUUAACCCUAUUAUUUUUGUGUGAACAUGGGGGUAUCCAUGUUUAGUCGUAAAGUUUAGAACUUGAUUUAUUUCACUAUAAUUAAAUGUCUUGUUAUAUGCACACUAAGACAUUUUUUUUAAAACCUAGAAUCCCUUAGGACUUGAUUUAUUUCACUAUAAUUAAAUGUCUUGUUAUAUGCACACUAAGACAUUUUUUUUUAAAC
RNAcentral lists this long non-coding RNA (246 nucleotides) under Lathyrus oleraceus (garden pea). RNAcentral describes it as "Pisum sativum (pea) long non-coding RNA (PSAT_LNC007607)". The record is from RNAcentral. Lineage: Eukaryota; Viridiplantae; Streptophyta; Magnoliopsida; Fabales; Fabaceae.